Molecule: ribosomal RNA, 253 nt
Filed under: uncultured bacterium
Lineage: Bacteria
Description: partial 16S ribosomal RNA
Rfam family: Bacterial small subunit ribosomal RNA
Source: RNAcentral
UACGUAGGGUGCGAGCGUUAAUCGGAAUUACUGGGCGUAAAGCGUGCGCAGGCGGUUCGUUAUGUCCGUUGUGAAAGCCCCGGGCUCAACCUGGGAAUGGCAAUGGAAACUGGCGGACUCGAGUGUGGCAGAGGGGGGUGGAAUUCCGCGUGUAGCAGUGAAAUGCGUAGAGAUGCGGAGGAACACCGAUGGCGAAGGCGGGUCUCUGGGCCGAUACUGACGCUGAGGAGCGAAAGCGUGGGGAGCGAACAGG